Molecule: non-coding RNA, 111 nt
Filed under: Ureibacillus massiliensis
Lineage: Bacteria; Bacillati; Bacillota; Bacilli; Caryophanales; Caryophanaceae
Also listed under: 1 other name
Description: Lysinibacillus massiliensis TPP sequence
Rfam family: TPP riboswitch aptamer (THI element)
About the family: Vitamin B(1) in its active form thiamin pyrophosphate (TPP) is an essential coenzyme that is synthesised by coupling of pyrimidine and thiazole moieties in bacteria. The previously detected thiamin-regulatory element, thi box was extended, resulting in a new, highly conserved RNA secondary structure, the THI element, which is widely distributed in eubacteria and also occurs in some archaea.
Source: RNAcentral
AGAAGAAUGUGGGGGAGCUGGUAUUUGCCAGCUGAGAUUGUAUCCGAUAGAUACUAACCCUUUGAACCUGAUUUGGUUAAUACCAGCGUAGGGAACAUCGACUUUCAAAUU